CGGGUGAGUAACGCGUGGGUAACCUGCCUUGUACAGGGGGAUAACAGUUGGAAACGGCUGCUAAUACCGCAUAAGCGCACGGCAUCGCAUGAUGCAGUGUGAAAAACUCCGGUGGUAUAAGAUGGACCCGCGUUGGAUUAGCUAGUUGGUGAGGUAACGGCCCACCAAGGCGACGAUCCAUAGCCGACCUGAGAGGGUGAACGGCCACAUUGGGACUGAGACACGGCCCAG
RNAcentral lists this ribosomal RNA (231 nucleotides) under uncultured bacterium. Its description in RNAcentral is "partial 16S ribosomal RNA". It matches the Rfam family "Bacterial small subunit ribosomal RNA", at positions 103 to 334 of the family's 1533-position model. The record is from RNAcentral.